Long non-coding RNA from Populus trichocarpa (black cottonwood), 848 nucleotides. RefSeq lists it as uncharacterized. NCBI's taxonomy places the organism in Eukaryota, Viridiplantae, Streptophyta, Magnoliopsida, Malpighiales, Salicaceae. The record is from RefSeq and is a predicted model, not a curated record. The transcript is spliced from 3 exons.
GCCACCGAAAGUGACAAGUUUGAAGCGCAAAUACCCUCGAAAUGAGUUCCUGGACCCCGGAGAGGACCCCUACCUAAUUUGUAGCAGAUCCCAGGGGCUUUGAGAUUGUAGUUCAAUAUCCUGCUAAGCAGUUCUUGUCCUCUUUGAAAAGCUAGCGACCCCAGGCUCGAGCUAAAUAAUGUAACCUUUUAAGCACAUUUUGCUGGGAUCUUGAAUUAAUGCACUCAGCCAUAGGUAGUUUGAGCUACAUCAUACACGCAAGGUAAUAAUCCUGAGGUGCAUUUAUGUUUAAAACUCUAAUUCAGGUAGUUUGAGAGAUAAUAUACACGAAGGAUGAAGUUGCAGUCAAAGCUGAAGAUGGUUCCAUUUACAAAGCUAAGUAAGCUAUUGUCUCUGUAAGCGUUGGAGUCCUCCAAACUGACCUGAUUGAUUUCAGGCCUAAGUUACGUCAUCUAGAGAAUUAAUGAAUAUCCAGGAUCUGUCACUGGUGCUUAUUCUACAGGAACCAAACUUGGAGGGGCUAUAGCAGCCAACAUUUGUAGAAGAGAAGGAUCAGUAGCAGCAUCUCUAUGCAUUUUCUGUUUAAUUAUUAAGGAAAAUAUGUGCAAGGUACAAAGAGUCUCACAAUUUGUACAAUCCUUCAUUUAGGUGGAGAUGGAGGAGGAUCAGUAGCAGCAAUAAACUCUUCAAGGGAUGGACUACCACGACAGCAUUCAACCUGUUUUUGAAGUUUUGCAAGAUUUCCCAUCAAUGUUAUGUUCGGAUUUUUGUGUUGGGAAUGCAGAAUUCGGUUUUUUGAUCUGGUAUUGUGUUUUUAUUUGCUUCUAAGAUUGUUUCAAAAAGGUAAA